UUUGAACUCCCUCCAUCCCAAAAUUCUUGUCUUAAAUUUGUCUAAAUACAAAUGUAUCUAGUUACAUUUUAGUGUUAGAUACAUCCGUAUCUAAACAAAUGUAAGACAAGAAUUUUGGGACGGAGGGAAUACUAC
This is a non-coding RNA of Triticum aestivum (bread wheat), 135 nucleotides long. NCBI's taxonomy places the organism in Eukaryota, Viridiplantae, Streptophyta, Magnoliopsida, Poales, Poaceae. The record is from Rfam.